Molecule: long non-coding RNA, 1511 nt
Filed under: Takifugu rubripes (torafugu)
Lineage: Eukaryota; Metazoa; Chordata; Actinopteri; Tetraodontiformes; Tetraodontidae
Description: lncRNA (ENSTRUG00000028428.1)
Source: RNAcentral
AUGUUGGACAGCUGGCUUAAACCUGGACUCUCUCUUUCUAGAGAAGCAGAGCCUGUUGAGGAUGAGAGUCCACUGAGGGAGGAGAAUGCAGAGGAGGAGGAGGAGGAGGAAGAGGAGGUGGAGGAGGAGGAGGAGGAGGAGGAGGAGGAGGAGAUAGAUGAAGAGGGGUGGGGAGAGAUGGAGGAGGAAGAGGAAGAUGACUGGGAGAAUGAGGAGAAUGAAGAGACACCGAUCACCAGUGAGGAGGGUGAGUCACCUCCUCACUUAUCUGAGGAGGGCUCUGGGGAGUCAUGGACAGAGGAAGGUAUGGAUGUUGUGGGUGAGAGUCAACCCUCUGAGAGCCAGGCAAAACCAGCAGAGCAGGAGCUACGAGAGGAGCACCUUCUGAGCCCUUAGGCCUACAGUGGCACGCGUGCGCGUUCACACACAUACACGCACACGCACGCACACACACACACACACACACGCACACACACACACACACACACACACACACACACACAAAGCAGCUUUAUUAGUGUACCCUCUAAUUUCAUUCAAUCAUUUCAAACACAUUUCAAGUCUUAUCAAUCUCAUAUUGCCACACUUUCGAUGGGUUUAUGCAAACAUUUAGGUAAACCCUUUAUUGUGGUCUGGUAGAUCCCAACAUCAAAGCCUUUUCAUUUUAACCACUGUGAGCUGGAAUGUAUCCAAUAUAUGAAAUAAAUUUCUGUUUUGGUUUUUGACAUUUCUACUUUGUAUUUGUAAAAAAAAAAAGAAAAACUGUCAAAAAAUGAUAAAUUACAAAAACGAUAAAUGAUAUAUAACAAAAACGUUAUCUCUUUUCUUAAUGUGUCCCCCUCCCAAAAGAGUUUAACAUAUCUCCAGUCAGCCAAUUUGCCAUUUCUGGAUUUGAACGGUAGGAGAAACAUCGAUUUAUUUGAACCGUACUUUAACUGUACUAAUUAUAACUUAAAGCUCAAUGGAACACAGGUGAUUUUAGAAUUCAACUUUUUUAACUAUACUGCUCCCUUUACCCACUAGAGGGCGCUAACGUAUAAUUUAAAACGCUUUAAGCGUGAUUAUAGGCACCUUAAGAUAUCUGAACUCGAUAAACAUUAGAGGCGCAAGGGGGAGGACCAGUUCGGUAGUCUUCGUGCUAUGAUUGGUCGGAAUCUUAACAACAACCCGCCCCCGGAUUUUGUGUACGGAAUAUGAUUGGGUCAUACGAUAAAGAGCUCUAGAGUGCAAAGAUAGGUAACACACCGUCUAAACGAAAGGGGGACAAGAACUCUUAGUUCUAAUACAUUGACAAAAAAGUUUUCCGAAUUAAUUUAGGUCGCCACAGACACUUCUCAAAUAAACAUUUGGACCAGGGCUGCCAAGUUAUUUCUUUUGAAUCCUUGAUCAUUUUGUCCCUCUGGCCCCGCCCCUCUCACAGUUCCCGUACACAUGACCCACGUCACAUGACGUAGGGUCAUGAUACUUCCUGGUUCAGACAAACGGGCUGGCUUCACGGAACGGGGCUAUCU